Molecule: non-coding RNA, 21 nt
Filed under: Arabidopsis thaliana (thale cress)
Lineage: Eukaryota; Viridiplantae; Streptophyta; Magnoliopsida; Brassicales; Brassicaceae
Source: RNAcentral
UCAAAGACUCGAUGGUUCACG